This 401-nucleotide ribosomal RNA is filed under the name uncultured bacterium. RNAcentral describes it as "bacterial SSU rRNA". It matches the Rfam family "Bacterial small subunit ribosomal RNA", at positions 356 to 774 of the family's 1533-position model. The record is from RNAcentral.
GGGGAAUAUUGGACAAUGGGCGAAAGCCUGAUCCAGCCAUGCCGCGUGAGUGAUGAAGGCCCUAGGGUUGUAAAGCUCUUUCACCGGUGAAGAUAAUGACGGUAACCGGAGAAGAAGCCCCGGCUAACUUCGUGCCAGCAGCCGCGGUAAUACGAAGGGGGCUAGCGUUGUUCGGAAUUACUGGGCGUAAAGCGCACGUAGGCGGAUUGUUAAGUCGGGGGUGAAAUCCCGGGGCUCAACCCCGGAACUGCCUUCGAUACUGGCAAUCUAGAGUCCGGAAGAGGUGAGUGGAAUUCCGAGUGUAGAGGUGAAAUUCGUAGAUAUUCGGAGGAACACCAGUGGCGAAGGCGGCUCACUGGUCCGGUACUGACGCUGAGGUGCGAAAGCGUGGGGAGCAAACA